UCAUACAAUGGCUGGUACAAAGGGUUGCCAACCCGCGAAGGGGGAGACUAAAUCCCAUAAAGCCAGUCGUAGUCCGGAUCGUAGUCUGCAACUCGACUACGUGAAGUCGGAAUCGCUAGUAAUCGUGGAUCAGAAUGUCACGGUGAAUACGUUCCCGGGUCUU
RNAcentral lists this ribosomal RNA (163 nucleotides) under uncultured Rhodoferax sp. RNAcentral describes it as "partial 16S ribosomal RNA". It matches the Rfam family "Bacterial small subunit ribosomal RNA", at positions 1223 to 1382 of the family's 1533-position model. The record is from RNAcentral. Lineage: Bacteria; Pseudomonadati; Pseudomonadota; Betaproteobacteria; Burkholderiales; Comamonadaceae.